Molecule: long non-coding RNA, 193 nt
Organism: Oncorhynchus gorbuscha (pink salmon)
Lineage: Eukaryota; Metazoa; Chordata; Actinopteri; Salmoniformes; Salmonidae
Exons: 3
Source: RefSeq, a predicted model, not a curated record
AAGCUGAAGACUUCCCGUACCUGCACCAGCUGUGGAGUUAUAGUUUAUGGUCAGGAGGAUUAUAAUCACCUGUCACUGAGCCUGAGCCAUGACCUGCCACACAGCCUGGACCUCUACUUUAAGCCAUCUGCGUUAGAGUGUGCAUGCAGGGUGUGCUCAGGAAGCACGGCAUCUGUGACUAGGCACUUCCUCA